This 253-nucleotide ribosomal RNA is filed under the name uncultured bacterium. Its description in RNAcentral is "partial 16S ribosomal RNA". It matches the Rfam family "Bacterial small subunit ribosomal RNA", at positions 524 to 776 of the family's 1533-position model. The record is from RNAcentral.
UACGAAGGGGGCUAGCGUUGCUCGGAUUGACUGGGCGUAAAGGGCGCGUAGGCGGUUUGUACAGUCAGACGUGAAAUUCCUGGGCUCAACCUGGGGGCUGCGUUUGAUACGUGCGAGCUUGAGUUCGGAAGAGGGUCGUGGAAUUCCCAGUGUAGAGGUGAAAUUCGUAGAUAUUGGGAAGAACACCGGUGGCGAAGGCGGCGACCUGGUCCGUGACUGACGCUGAGGCGCGAAAGCGUGGGGAGCAAACAGG